RNAcentral lists this ribosomal RNA (413 nucleotides) under uncultured bacterium. RNAcentral describes it as "bacterial SSU rRNA". It matches the Rfam family "Bacterial small subunit ribosomal RNA", at positions 362 to 776 of the family's 1533-position model. The record is from RNAcentral.
UUUUGCGCAAUGGACGGAAGUCUGACGCAGCAACGCCGCGUGAAGGAUGACGGCCUUCGGGUUGUAAACUUCUGUUGGAUGGGAAAAAAAGCCUAGGAAUAGGAAUUGAUGGUACCAUUCGAGUAAGCACCGGCUAACUACGUGCCAGCAGCCGCGGUAAUACGUAGGGUGCGAGCGUUGUUCGGAAUCACUGGGCGUAAAGGGAGCGUAGGCGGGAUCGUAAGUUAGGAGUUUAAUACAUGGGCUCAACCCGUGAUAUGCUUUUAAUACUGCGGUUCUUGAGUAUGGGAGAGGGUGAUGGAAUUCCAGGUGUAGCGGUGGAAUGCGUAGAUAUCUGGAAGAACACCAGUAGCGAAGGCGGUCACCUGGCCCAAUACUGACGCUGAGGCUCGAAAGCUGGGGGAGCAAACAGG